UGCAGUUUCAUACAUAUCUCUUGC
This 24-nucleotide non-coding RNA is filed under the name Arabidopsis thaliana (thale cress). The record is from RNAcentral. Lineage: Eukaryota; Viridiplantae; Streptophyta; Magnoliopsida; Brassicales; Brassicaceae.